CAGCAAUAUGAUUACUCGAUAUUCUACCCAGUCUCAGCUUAUGAAUUCCAGUUCCCGCAGCCAGUUUGAUACCACCUCUUUUACUCAGCCUGACCAGCAGGUUAACCUAUCAUAUGAUAAUAGGAUUGGGGAUGCCCUUGGUCCACCUCUGUCACCAUCAUUCGAAGCUGGAAUCUCUUCUAUUCAGCAAGCGAAUCUUAUUCCUUAUGAGGACUGGUCCCAUAAUUGGGUGAAGGGUGUUGAUGACUCCUUACCUGAAAUGCUUGAAAAUGAUGAUAUGCAGCACUUGAUUUGGCCUUCCAGCAUGGGAUGUCACGACAAUAUGAUUACUCGAUAUUCGAAUCAGUCUCAGCUUAUGAAUUCCAGUUCCCACACCCAGUUUGAUACCACCUCUUUUACUCAGCCCGACCAGCAGGUUAACCUAUCAUAUGAUGAUAGGAUUAGGGUUGCCCUCGGUCCACCUCUGUCAUCAUCAUUCCAAGCGGGAAACUCGUCUAUUCAGCAAGCGAAUCUUAAUCCUUUUGAGGACUGUUCCUGUAAUCGGGUGGAGGGUGUUGAUGACUUCUUAUCAGAUGAGGAAAAUUACAUCAGAAGUCACGAAAUGCUUGAAGAAGAAGAUAUGCAGAUGUUGCUUUCGCAUUUCGGCAUGGGAGGUCUCUCUUCCAUUAAUGAGAUGGGUCGGCCGAAAAUUAAGGCUGAAAUGAGAUGGGUUGUCAGGAAGAAGGCAGCUGAGAAGAGGGCAUAGAUUGUGGAGUUGGAAGACGAAUAGAAUUUGCUCUGGUGAUGGAGUUUGACAUUGAAUCUUAACCAUCAACUGGAUCUGACAAUUGCUGAAACUCUUCUUCAGAUCAAGUAGAUUCGCUAGGUUUCAGGACUCCACAUUUUCCAGUAUGUACAGUAUGUUGUUCGCUUUUAUAACUUUAUCUGUUUAAUUAAGUAUUUUCAUCAGACUAUGAUUUCAAUGUUAAAAUUUCUGCAAAUGAUUGCUAAUAUACAUUAUGUACGUGUUCAUUUCUGUUGCAUUGUGAUUUCCAAAUUCUUUAUUUGUAGCGUCUAUUCUCCUUGGGUCGUUCAUAGACUUCACCCUUUUAGCCUGUGAUGAAGUACAUGGAAUCUACACGUUUGCCUGAAGAAAUGUUGGAAUUAUAUUUUGGAGAAGUUUUCUCAAAACAAUAAUUUCAUUAUCUAACAUGGCAAUUAACUUUAGGAGCCGUUGCAGAUAUCAUUACGCAUUCUUUGCUUAGUCACAGAUCAAAAUAUCUAUUGCAUAGUUUCAUGAGACAUUAGUGUUGAUUGAUGAUAGAUAGUAUUAUAAGAGAUGAUCUAAUGUUCUUAGUGGAUAGGAUAACAAUUGCUCACUGUUAAUGUGACGUCGUCACGUCAACAAAUCAAACUUUUUUUCUUUUGAUCGUUGACGUGGCAUCAUCACAGUAGUAGGUGGGCAUUACAACUUUUGUCCACCGUACAUAGGAGAUCGUAUAGUCAUGGUUUUUGCUUGCAACAUGAAUGACGUUUCAUGUUGUAUAAUUUAUAAGAAAUAUAAAUGGAAUCUCAUAUUUGCCGAUAUACAAGAUAGUGAUAAAUGAACAUUCAUAUACUGGUUCAAAGCCAGUAAGUAGGUACCUAAAAGGUGAAAUCGAAGAAUUCUAUUGAACAGAAAAGUAGGGAGCCACGGUAUAUAUGCCUAUAUGCUGCCAAAAACCCUUUUGUAUUAACAAAAAAGAACUGAAAAAUUUUAUGUACCCUUUGCAUGGUUUAUCAUUGUGCGAUCUUGAUAGUACACACUGGUGGGAAGCGUUUUGCAUUCGAGCAGUAAUUGUAAAUCAUAUAAUUUUUCUGCACCCAUUUUAGUCUUUCUUGGCCUGUGGAAUCUAAUUCUUCACUUAGCCAUGCAGGGUUGGAGUUGGAGGUGGAGAGUUGGAACUCCAAGAAGACGACCGUGAAGAUCAAAUACAGGCAUUUACGUUGAAAUUCCUGUAGGAGGUAGUAAAUGGAGCCUGACUCUAGUCUGUUUUCACAAGCCCGCCUCUAGUUCCCUAGUCGUCCACGUUCUCUAACAUUUCCCCCAAUUGCUUCCUAAGUUCUUUAAGCUCAGGCUGAAACAUACGGUAUGGUGCCCUGGCGGGAGCUUUGGCGCCUGGAAUAAGUUCGAUCUCAUGAUCAAUCGUCCUUCUUGGUGGUAAUUUCUUUGGUAAUUCUUCCGGCAUGAUGUCCUCAAAUUCCCGAAUAAGCCUUUUAACGGGUUUUGGAAUAGGACCAUUCGCCUUUUCGGCCUCCUCUAAUCGAAGAGUGCACAAAAAAGAGGGUUCAUUUCUCUUGAAACCUUUACUAAAUUACAUGGCUGAGAUACUCUUCUCGCCCAUCUUCCCAACCUGUGUAGGGAUGACACACGGCUUAUUACCCAUCAUCAUUAACGAAUCGGAAUAUGGCAACACCGCUGUCUUAGUAUCCCGAAGAAAUUCCAAUCCUAGAGUAAGCUUGAAAUCAUCUAUCUGAACUGCAGAUAAAUUUGUCCUUCCCUCGAAAGGACCUGCUUUGAUCAACACCGAUUUCACCACUCCAGCUAUUGGUUGAGCAGCGGAGUUGAUUUCUUUGACUUUUCCACUACCCUUUUCUAGAACAAGUCCGAGUCGAUCUACUUCGGUACAUGCAAGGUAGUUGUGGGUAGCACCAGUAUUCACCAUAGCCCUAAUUGGCUUCCCAUUGAUUUUUACAUCAAUGUACAUUAAGCUUUUGGCCCUACAAAUUCGAGCCUUCACUUCUUCCAUCUUUGCCUCUUUCAAUGGGACAUCAUCUUUUUCAGCAACUCGAUGCGACAGGGUGUUGCACCGAUGUGAAAAUGCCCCAACUACUUCCUCAUUCUCUUCAGAGUCAGUCUCACUAUNNNNNNNNNNNNNNNNNNNNNNNNNNNNNNNNNNNNNNNNNNNNNNNNNNNNNNNNNNNNNNNNNNNNNNNNNNNNNNNNNNNNNNNNNNNNNNNNNNNNNNNNNNNNNNNNNNNNNNNNNNNNNNNNNNNNNNNNNNNNNNNNNNNNNNNNNNNNNNNUCUGUUUAAUUAAGUAUUUUCAUCAGACUAUGAUUUCAAUGUUAAAAUUUCUGCAAAUGAUUGCUAAUAUACAUUAUGUACGUGUUCAUUUCUGUUGCAUUGUGAUUUCCAAAUUCUUUAUUUGUAGCGUCUAUUCUCCUUGGGUCGUUCAUAGACUUCACCCUUUUAGCCUGUGAUGAAGUACAUGGAAUCUACACGUUUGCCUGAAGAAAUGUUGGAAUUAUAUUUUGGAGAAGUUUUCUCAAAACAAUAAUUUCAUUAUCUAACAUGGCAAUUAACUUUAGGAGCCGUUGCAGAUAUCAUUACGCAUUCUUUGCUUAGUCACAGAUCAAAAUAUCUAUUGCAUAGUUUCAUGAGACAUUAGUGUUGAUUGAUGAUAGAUAGUAUUAUAAGAGAUGAUCUAAUGUUCUUAGUGGAUAGGAUAACAAUUGCUCACUGUUAAUGUGACGUCGUCACGUCAACAAAUCAAACUUUUUUUCUUUUGAUCGUUGACGUGGCAUCAUCACAGUAGUAGGUGGGCAUUACAACUUUUGUCCACCGUACAUAGGAGAUCGUAUAGUCAUGGUUUUUGCUUGCAACAUGAAUGACGUUUCAUGUUGUAUAAUUUAUAAGAAAUAUAAAUGGAAUCUCAUAUUUGCCGAUAUACAAGAUAGUGAUAAAUGAACAUUCAUAUACUGGUUCAAAGCCAGUAAGUAGGUACCUAAAAGGUGAAAUCGAAGAAUUCUAUUGAACAGAAAAGUAGGGAGCCACGGUAUAUAUGCCUAUAUGCUGCCAAAAACCCUUUUGUAUUAACAAAAAAGAACUGAAAAAUUUUAUGUACCCUUUGCAUGGUUUAUCAUUGUGCGAUCUUGAUAGUACACACUGGUGGGAAGCGUUUUGCAUUCGAGCAGUAAUUGUAAAUCAUAUAAUUUUUCUGCACCCAUUUUAGUCUUUCUUGGCCUGUGGAAUCUAAUUCUUCACUUAGCCAUGCAGGGUUGGAGUUGGAGGUGGAGAGUUGGAACUCCAAGAAGACGACCGUGAAGAUCAAAUACAGGCAUUUACGUUGAAAUUCCUGUAGGAGGUAGUAAAUGGAGCCUGACUCUAGUCUGUUUUCACAAGCCCGCCUCUAGUUCCCUAGUCGUCCACGUUCUCUAACAUUUCCCCCAAUUGCUUCCUAAGUUCUUUAAGCUCAGGCUGAAACAUACGGUAUGGUGCCCUGGCGGGAGCUUUGGCGCCUGGAAUAAGUUCGAUCUCAUGAUCAAUCGUCCUUCUUGGUGGUAAUUUCUUUGGUAAUUCUUCCGGCAUGAUGUCCUCAAAUUCCCGAAUAAGCCUUUUAACGGGUUUUGGAAUAGGACCAUUCGCCUUUUCGGCCUCCUCUAAUCGAAGAGUGCACAAAAAAGAGGGUUCAUUUCUCUUGAAACCUUUACUAAAUUACAUGGCUGAGAUACUCUUCUCGCCCAUCUUCCCAACCUGUGUAGGGAUGACACACGGCUUAUUACCCAUCAUCAUUAACGAAUCGGAAUAUGGCAACACCGCUGUCUUAGUAUCCCGAAGAAAUUCCAAUCCUAGAGUAAGCUUGAAAUCAUCUAUCUGAACUGCAGAUAAAUUUGUCCUUCCCUCGAAAGGACCUGCUUUGAUCAACACCGAUUUCACCACUCCAGCUAUUGGUUGAGCAGCGGAGUUGAUUUCUUUGACUUUUCCACUACCCUUUUCUAGAACAAGUCCGAGUCGAUCUACUUCGGUACAUGCAAGGUAGUUGUGGGUAGCACCAGUAUUCACCAUAGCCCUAAUUGGCUUCCCAUUGAUUUUUACAUCAAUGUACAUUAAGCUUUUGGCCCUACAAAUUCGAGCCUUCACUUCUUCCAUCUUUGCCUCUUUCAAUGGGACAUCAUCUUUUUCAGCAACUCGAUGCGACAGGGUGUUGCACCGAUGUGAAAAUGCCCCAACUACUUCCUCAUUCUCUUCAGAGUCAGUCUCACUAUGACAAUUAGCCUGCGAGGCCUCUUGUUUUGAACUUGGCCCGCCACUUGCUAACUGACAAUAUGCAUUCACCAUCCACUUCUGAGGAACUCUGACACCCGAUGAGGUCCUUCACAUAAAAAGCACUUCAAUUUGGGAGUGACAUCAGUUCGGCCCUCCGUUGCUUUUCCUUUCUUCCAGUUGCUACUAUUACUGGCGUUAAAAUUUCCCUGACGGCUGUUAUGAUAGUUUCCCUAAAAGCCACGGGUGCUUUGAUAGGCUUCUUCUCUAUUAUGAGAGUAACGCUCUCCCCCAUUUGGGUUCGAGCUGGGUCUGUAAGAUCUGUUACCACCUCCAAUUGCUUGAUUACUCCCCGAAGGUCGAUCUUUUCUAGAUUCUGUUUGGUAGUCGCUCAAGCAUUCAGCGGCUCCCAUGGCUGUGCUCAAAUCAGCAACCUUUUGUCUUUGAAGUUCAGUGCGUGUCCACGGUUUCAACCCUUCCAUAAAGGUGAAGAGCUUAUCAUUUUCUGACAUAUCUCGAAUAUUCAUCAUAUGCCCUGAGAAGGAUUUCACAUACUCCCUGAUAGAGCUUGUGUGUUUUAGGUCUCGAAGCGCCCGUCGAGCCUGAUACUCGACAUUUUUCGGGAAAAACUGCGAUUUGAUCGCUUCUUUGAGGAGAUCCCAAGAAUCAAUUCGAAUCCUGUGGGCCUGAAUGUCAGCAUAUUUGGUUCGCCACCAUAGUUUUGCAUCUCCACCCAAAUACAUGGUAGCUGUGGUUACCUUUUUAGCUCUGUCUUCGAUUGAAGCUGUUAGAAAGUACUGUUCCAUAUCAAACAAGAAGUUUUCGACUUCUUUUGUAUCACGUGCCCCUCCGUAGGUACACGGUUUAGGAAUUUUGAGCCUAGGAGCAUCCUCAGGUACGGGAGCUUGCCCAUUGCCCACCGCACGUUGGAGUACCCGCAAUUGAGCUCUCAACGCUUCCAUUUCAUCCUGCAGAUCAGGAAUGAUUACAGCAGUUUCAGUCAUUGCUGCGCAAGCUCUUUGGCUUUCAUCCAAUUGGAUGUGUAAUCCACGAAUCUCAGAUUCGGCCAUCUCGACUUUUUCCUCGAGACCUUCCAUAGCAUAGCACAAUCUAGUAGUUGUCUCAUCAAGCGCAUCCACGCGCUGUUUCGUAGUACCCUUCUUUUGAGGCUCUUACUACUUUAGUGGUGUGGGAUGUAAUUGAAUCCAUAACUUUUUUAUCGAGGGUUGUGAGCCGCAGCUCUGAUACCAACUUUCACGGGGUGCCUUUCUUCUUGGCACAGAAAGGGACACCGUGUGGCAAUAGUCUGCUUCGCUAGACUACCUUCCGCCUUUUCUCGAUCGCAUUGGGACGAAAGAAAAUUUGAUUGCAAUUUUGUAGAAAGCUUACAAUAGAGAAUUUGAAUAUAUUGAAAGUAAAUUGAACAUUGAUUGAUGAAAAUUGAACAUUACAAUUGAUGAAAGCAGAAAAUUACAAAUGCUGGUGCAGGGGGCGGACACCAGUGAGCUUGAAAGAUUUUUGCAUGACUAAUACCCCCUAUAAUAGCAUUCUGAACAAAAACCUAAGUGACGGGAGUAGACGUUUAAAAGACGAGAAAUCAUACUAAACGUUUACCAAUAUCAGAGCUAUUUUACAACUGAAAUAACUAUUACAAUGAAAAGAAAAUUACAACUCAAACUUGAAGUAAUAUUUACAAUGUGCGACCGAAGUUGGGCAAAUUGCGGCUGCGAUAGUGUCAUGGGGCUAAGUAAAGCUGCGGUCCUUGACACCCAGUCUCGAGGUUGGUCACUUGAACAUCGUGGAAGUACUAGUAGAGCUCAGGCUCAAGCCUAACAGAAAAGCUACCAGUGGAAUGACCACAGCCUAAAGCUUUAUUGCAAGUAGCUAUCCCUGCCCCCAGGUAUGUAGAUUGCUUAACUUGUGUCCUUUUAGCCUUGCGUGCCCUUGAGCAGUUUAUUUUUAUAUUCAUGCCAAGUUGUCCUUGAGUACUAACUUUACUAUGAUAUAGCAAUUUGCUUUUAACUAUUGCUUCGUCUUGUAGACAUACAUUUCGUAUCAAAAGCCCUGUCACGAGCAGGCAUCAAAGCUUUGUCCCGUGCAAGCAUCAAAAGUCGUGUCACACGUAGGCACAAAAGCCUUGUCACGCGCAGGCACCAUUAAAAGCCACGAGCAGGCACCAAAGCCCUAUCACGAGCAAGCACUAAAGCCUUGACUCGUUCAAGCAUCAAAAGCCCUAUCAUGCACAGACACCAAAGCCCUGUCAGGAGCAGGCACUAAAGCUUUGUACUACGUAAGCACUUAAAGCCUUGCCCCGUACAGGGAUUCUAAGCAUUGCCCCAUACAAGCACCUCAAAGCCUUGCCUCCUCCCGUGCAAGCACCUCAAAGUCUUGUCCAGAGCAAGCACUCUAAGCCUUGAUCCACGCACCCAUGCGAGCACAUCAAAACCUUGCCACAAGCAAGAACGACAAACCUUACCCCGUGCAGGUACUCUAAGCCUUGCCACGAGUAAGCACAUCCAAGUCCUGCAAUACAUCAAGUAAAAACCCAACCACGAGUCUAUCCCAAGCUUGUCAAGCUCAAACUAUUCUCAAAUCCAUGGGAAUAGAGCUCAGGAUAUCAUUUUACGUUGGGCUUGGGGACUUGUCCUCGAGUUCAAUACAAUGUCAAAUCUCAGCCACUAGAGCUCAUGAUAAAUGUGUCAUGUGGAGUUCGGGGCCUGCCCUCGAGCUCAAUCCAUUUUCAAAUCCCAACCAUAAGAGUUCGGGAUAAUUGUGCCACGUUAAGCUCAGGGCUUGCCCUCGAACUUAAUCCAUUUUCAAAUCCUAACCACAUGAGCUCGGGAUAAGUCUCUCACAUUGGCUCGAGACUAUCCUUGAGCUCUGUACACUGUCUAAUCCCAGAUGCAAGGGCUUGGGAUAAUGAUCGUACAUUGAGUUCGGGCGAUGUCUUCUAUAUGAACCAUUGUCUAUUCGUCGAGCUCAUUCUUUUAAAAAAAAUUUAAACAAAGCUCGAGAUCGAGAUCAUUCUUUUCAACUUCUAUACAUGGUAGGGGUCAAGCCCUUACUUUAGCAUUUUUCAACAAAGCUCCAAGUUGAGUUCCUUCAAUUCAUAUCUUGAAAGCUCAGGUCGAGCUCGUUCAUGCCAAAAUCCUUUACAAGGUAGGGAUCAAGGCCUUUCUUUCAAAAUUUAUUAACGAGCAAGGUCGAGCUUCCUUCUUUCAAAAUUUUCAACAAGGUAGGGACGAAGCCCUUCCUCUCAAAAUUUAUGAGUUCGAGAUUGAGCUCCCCUCUUUCAAAAUUUUUGACGGGGCUAGGGUCUAAACCUCUCAAAAUUUUUUAAUGAGCUCGAGGUCGAGCUCCUUCCUUUCAAAUUUUUAAAUAAGGCCCGUGCACAAUUUUCUUUCAAAAUUUUGACAACGUUGGGGUCGAGCCCUUCCCUUCAAAUUUUUAAAAGGUAGGGGUUGAGAACAUUCAAAUUUAAAAAAAAAAAAAGAUUGAUAUCGAGCUGAGGUUCAUUAUUCAGGUACAAUUUUACAUACAAUUUCAGCAAAUAUCCUCAUAUAUUUUUCCCUUCUAACUUAAGUUUUGGAGGGGCGAUGAGAACACACCUCGUUACCUUUGUUGCAGAUACCAGAAGGCCUCGUUCGUGUCCUUUCUCAGCCCUCAUGCUCGGGAGAUCUAUCAGGUAUANNNNNNNNNNNNNNNNNNNNNNNNNNNNNNNNNNNNNNNNNNNNNNNNNNNNNNNNNNNNNNNNNNNNNNNNNNNNNNNNNNNNNNNNNNNNNNNNNNNNNNNNNNNNNNNNNNNNNNNNNNNNNNNNNNNNNNNNNNNNNNNNNNNNNNNNNNNNNNNNNNNNNNNNNNNNNNNNNNNNNNNNNNNNNNNNNGCAUUAAUAAGGAAGAAUAAGAAGCCAUUGCUGCUUUAAUGGUUUGUAUAUGGAUUUAGUUUAGUUUGUAUAGGAGGUGGGGUGGGGGAAAUGGAAGAGGAAGGUGCAGCAUAUUAACUGGUUAAUAUUAUCUAGUUUUGAAGUGCGGAUUCAAUACAACGUUAAAUGCUAGGUUGUUGUCACCAUUUUAUUUGUAUUGUAAGAGCAUUUUCAAAAGACUUUCUAUUUAUAAAGAGCAUCUUAUGUAUAAUAGAGUGUAUCUUUAAAUUUAGAGAGUAAUUUUUUUAUACACUUCAAUAAGCUCUCUAUUUUGAUUAUUUAUUUUAUUUUUUUAAAAUGAACAUUUAAUAAUUUUUCCACAUAUUUUGUUUAAAUAUAAUUUUUUUACAUAUUAAUGACCAAUAAAUUCAAAUGUAAUUUGAAAAAUUCAAUUUGUAGAGCAUUGAAAUUUGUAAUUUAUUAAAUGAAAUCAUUGUACAUAAAGAAUAGAGAGUGCGUUUGACUCUCUAAAUUUGGAGAGUGAAACAUACAACUCUAUUUUAAAAAGUUAAAAUAGUGAGUUUUGAAACUUAUUUUUAAGUAUUGACUUUUUAAAAUAGAGAGUAUUUUGUAUUUAAAAAGUCUCUUAGAAAUACUUUAAGCCAAUUAAAAUUCAUUUUUCUUUAAUUGGAGUUUUUAAUGACAUGUUGGACAAAGUGCAGUUGAUGGGUAGAUGAAAAUUAAUGUAAGUUGUGUAGGUAUUAAAAAUCUAGUUACUUAACCCCCAUUUGACCCCAAUUCAGUCCAUGUUUGUCAUUCAUUUUCUCUCAUUCUUUUCAAUUAUUUCUUCUACAGUAUUCAUUUUCAAUUAUAUAUUUUUCAUUAAAAUAAUAUCACACGUAAAUUAAAAACUUUCUUUUUUAAUCACACAUUUCAACAUUAAUCAUUAUUCCAUAAUACAUUCUUCCCAAAUGCAAAUAAUGGGUGACAAACACACUCUAAAUUACAUUCAAUUUUUCUCCUUCAUAUUUUCAACAACACAAUUUUCUAUAAAAUAAUAUUACACGUAAAUCGAAAUUUUUCUUUAUUUUUCAACCACUAAUUCAAGAAAACACUAUUCCACUCAUUUUCAUUUUCAGAAAAUUGGAGACAAACAAGAGCUUAAUUUUUUAUAUUAGAUCUGGCGAUGAUUUAAUGGAGCCCAGAGGAAGAAUUCGUGUAAUGAUCGAAUAAGGUUUAGCCCCCAUUUGAUACUUUGAGGGGCAAAGGAAGAUUAACUGUCUCGGGCACAGACUCUUGGAUUAAAUCCAUUUUCACUCAUUUUUAAUCACAUUUUUUCAAUAAAGUAAUUUUUCUCGAAGACCCAUAAAUUUUUCCUACUUUUUAACGAUACAUUUUCCCCAAAAAAAAAAAAAAAUUUGAAAAGGCAUGCCGUUAGUUUAUUCUGUAUAUAGGAUCACGAUUCACAAUAAGCAAGAUUUGCAAAAUUUUUGAAACACAAUAAUGAACCAUUUUAUUAGAAUACAAUGACUAGAUUGUUAAAUUAUUUAAACUAUGAAAUUAUUAUUUUAUUUUAUAAAACCUUUGUUUUUAAUGUCCAAUUUUACUUUUCGUCUAAAUAUCGCAUUUACAUGUCCUAUACGUUUCUUGGUUUCGUGCAACCUUAAUAAGUGAAAAUUAGUUCGUUUUGUUGAAAAACAUUUUCGGAAAAUCUACUCAAGUCUAUGGGAUGCAGAAGAAUGGGCUACGCGGCAUGGUCUGGUUAAAACGAACUGGACUUUGUCACCCUUUACUGCUGGAUACAGAAAUUUUUCUGCAGAAGCUUGCGUUUGGUCAUACAGAACUAAAUCUUCUGCUUGUAAUUCUAAUGACUUUAAGUCAAAAUGAUGGCUAAAAACGGGGUUGGAUUCAAAAAGCCGUGCAGAAAUGAAAAGAUUGCAGAGGAAGCAUAUGGUAUAUGACUAUUGUAUGGAUAAAUGGAGAUUUCCUAAGGGUCCUGGAAGAGAAUGCAAAUUUCAGUAUACAUGGAUUUGAUAUAGAUUCAUUUAUCCUAACAAUCACUACAACAAAGUGUGCUUUUUACUACAUACACUGUAUGUAUGCCGUAAAUAAUAUUUUACAACAUACAGCAACAUGUAGUAUAAAGCAAUGCCAUAAAAAGUGAGUCAUUUUUUUAUGGCGUGCAUAGUACGCCAUACAAGGAACUCCGUUAAUCAUAAAAAUGACAUGCAAAUUUAUACGUCGUUUAUAUUCCUUACACGGAGUUCAUAAACGUGAGAUACUUUUUACAGCAUGCAAAUAUGCCAUAAAAAUUAAGUUCAUUUUCACAAAUGAGCAUUCAAUUUUUAAAAAAUUAUUUAUUUAUUUCAUUACCAAUAAACCUGUAAUAAUUACAAAACAAAAUUAAUCCAUAUACAAUCAAGUUUUCAAUUGUUUCGAUAAAUAGAAACAUUGAGUACGAUUCAAUAUAAUAUGUCAAUGUAAAAUUCAUCUCAACAAUUCUACAAAAUUUUCGACUACUAUUGUUUGUGCUAAUUACAAUUCAACUAAUAAGCCCAUGGAUAUUGAGGUUUCAUCAUAACAAAAAAUGAUUAAAACAUAUCAAAGUUCACUUCUCUCACUAUCAAUUUAGCUAACCCACAAAAUAUCAAUUCUCUGCACACCACAGAAAUAAUAAAAAUAUAAUUAAUAAACAUGGAAAUCAAAAGUAUAUCAAGAAAUAUAUUAACUUCUAUCUAAUCAACAUAGUAUGCAUGAUAGUAAUUACUUGAAUAUAUUGUUAGUAAAACUAUAAAGUAAAUUUGAUUAGCAUAUGAUCUUUAACAGAAAUACAUCUAUAAGCACCAUACCUUUCAAAUAAAUAAAUAAAUAAAUAAUUAAUUAAAAAAAAUAGAUUAAGGAUAGGACUAGAAUACUAACAUAUAGAGCCAUAAAACAUCAACACAUAAAAACAACCCCUUGCAAUUUAACUGCCCAUUAGUUACCAUUAAUUGGUAACAAUUUCUUCAAUUUUUGAUUGCUAGCUAGCUAGACAUUUGUUUUGUAGAUGUCACUCUUUCGAAAUUCAUUUUUUUCAACGAAGUUCCUCUUAUUGAAAGUUUGCAUAGUCAAUUAACUUUGGCUAUAUUAUUCGAAAGUUUCGCACAUGAAUGAUUUUAAUAAAUAGAUGAUAUUUCGACUUGAAUUCAAAUAUUGAAAUACGUGAAGACGAACACAGAAGUUACUAAGUUGAUGCGGUUAUAAGUCCUAGGUUAUUCCAGGAGCUAAUAGAAGUUCCUAGAGUGUCCCAUAGUAGUCACCAAUAUGUACUAGUACUUUUCUUCAUCAUUAAAAAAUUUACCUACAAAAACCGUGUGUCAAAUUUCGCUCUGUUCCAAAGUCAAAAAUAUUAGUAGCAAAUGAAUUUCUUAUCAUCUUGAACAUUUGGAUAUUCAAUUUCACGGGCUUGAUCUCUCGUUCAUAGUCAGCAGGAAAAACUUUGCUUACUGGCUGUCACGACAACAGGUCAAGCCGCUUAUUUUGACAAAUAAAAAAAGGUUUGAAUCAUCGGCAUGGUAAUGCCACUUCAACAGAUGGACAACAUAACUUCAGUCUACUAUAAAGAUGGGACCAAUUCUAUUCAAUUUCAGUAUCAAAUUUUAGUAGAGUUCAUUUAUUGAUUAAAAAGUGGAUAUUCAAUUUCCACGUUGAGAUCAUUAUUAUUUUUUUUUAUUGUGAAGAACUUUAUUUAUAUAUUACAAAAUUUCUCUUGUUCUUCGAGAAUUAAAACUUUAUUUAAAACUUAAGUCGUGAAAGAGACUGAAAAGGCAUAGACUAGUUAGUGGUAACAAAAGCACUCAAGAUUUGGACACCAACGCCAACUAGCAUAGGAGUGGAAAUCGAGAAUUUCCAGGUGUACACAGCCUUACAACUUCAAGCUUCUAAGACGCUUCUAUUUAUAAAUUUCUCCAUUUACAUAUACCCAUCCAAACUAACAACAUUUUUCUUCAUCCAUAACGAAAAGGUUGUUCUUUUGUUCAAUUUCACAAACCAAGAAUUGACUAACCAAUGGUUUCUUAUAACUAUUCUAUUUCAUCAAAUGUUGUAGUUCUUUUGUUGUUGAUGCUAUGCACCUUUGGCUCUUUUCUACUAGCUCUGCUGGUAACUUUUUUAAAGAUUUUGAUAUGACAUGGGGCGAUGGACGUGCAAAAAUGCUCGAUAAUGGCAAAAUUCUCAAUCUCUCCCUCGACAAAGCUUCCGGGUCUGGCAUACAAUCCAAGAACGUGUAUUUAUUCGAAAAGAUCGAUAUCCAACUCAAGCUUGUUCCGAUUAACUCUGCUGGCACUGUCACCACUUACUAUGUAAGUCUCAAAAAGCCGCUAUGCUGAUUCUGAAAUCAUCUCGUUUAAAAGUUUACUUAUUUUAUUCCUCCCAUUGUACUGUGCAUUAUGCAUCUGUCUUCUCAAGGUCUAAACCAUGAUGAGAUAGACUUUGAAUUCUUGGGAAAUCUUAGUGGUGAACAUUACAUUGUUCACACUAAUGUGUAUACACAAGGCAAAGGUGACAGGCAGCAACAGUUCUACCUCUGGUUUGAUCCCACUGCUGAUUUUCACGCUUAUUCUAUUCUCUGGAAUCCUCAAACAAUCAUGAAAGUAUACUACAAGACAUAGCGUUAUCGACACAACUAGACUGUUUAGUGUCAUCGAGUCGACCACUAAUUAUUUUUUUAAAAAUUUUUUAAACUCAUUUUCGUACAUCUUGGUUUCUUGUUUUCAGUUUCUACAUUGAUGGCAAACCAAUCAGAGUAUUUAACAAUCUAGAAUCGCGUGAAAUUUCGUUCCCAAAGAACCAGCCAAUGAGGGUUUAUUCGAGUAUGUGGAAUGCAGAUGAUUGGGCAACAAGAGGUGGCCUUAUAAAGACUGAUUGGAGUCUAGCUCCAUUUGUAGCUUCUUUAAGAAAUUUCAAGACCAAUGCUUGUGUAUGGAAAUCUGAAAAAUCUUCUUGCAAGAAUUCAUCCUCAAAAACAUAGUCCUCACAAGAGCUUGACCCUGAAAGUCAAGAAAGGCUGAAAUGGGUGUAUACAAAACGGUUCCCUCUGGGCCUUCCUCAAGAAUGCACUUCCAAUACUAUAAGCACCAAUUAGAGACAGGAAAAUAAGUAGAUAUAUAUUGUGUAAAUUUUCUUUUCUCCUAGGCAUAUUUUGGGAUUCAAGAAAUAAAUGCUGCCACAGGAUCAGUAUCUUAUUUUGGUAAUGUAAGUACAAUUAUUCAUACAUUAGUAUAAAACAGAUGGAUUUUUUAAAAUGGACUUCUUACAAUGAGCAAUGUAGAAAAUAACCUUAGGUUUUAUGUUCUUGUUUAAAAGGCCUUUGAAAGCUCUUAUUUAGCCGAUUUAUUUUGACCUUACAUGCAGAAUUAACACAAUUAAAAGCAACAAGUCACUUUUUACAUUAGAUAGAAAUGUAAUUAAAGUUUAAUUACCUGAUUAGAAUCUAAUUAAAGUUUAAAUACCUGAACAAAAAUAGAAUACACUUGCACGAUUUACAGUAGAUAGAAAUAUAAUUACUACGAAUGGAAUUUCCCUAUGGGAAAAUUUCAUAAGUAAGAAAUUAAUUAUAACACAUUUCAAAAACAAGAAAACAAGUUUCAAAUUUCAAAAAUCAGAUUUUUAUUAAAAAUUAUUUAUAAUUUAAUUAAUUAAUUAAUUAAUUUAGUAAUUAAAUAUAUUUAUGUUACAUAUUUAUAUAAUUUAGUCACAAAUUAACGAUUUAAUUCGUCACUUAUUAUUUUUUAGUCACAAAUCAGAAAUUUUACGUCACGAUUUACUUUACGAUCACAGUUUAAAAAUUUUAUAAGUCACAAUUUAUUCAUCGGUCACAAAUUGAAAAAUUUAUAAGUUACGAUUUAUUUAUUGAUCAUAGAUCACAAAUAUUACAAUCACGGCUUAUUAUACAGUUACAAAUUAUCAGUCACAAAUUAACAAUUUUUUAGGUCACAUUAUUUUUCGGUCACAAUUUAUCUUUUUCAUUAGUCAUACAUUAUUUUUAGGUCACAAUUUAUCUUUUUCAUUGGUCAUAUAUUAUUUAUUGGUCACAUAUCAACCAAUUUAAUAGUUACAGUCAACCAAAUAAUUUGUGACCACCACCAAUACUUACAAUUCACAGUCAUAAUUUUCAAAUCACGUAUUCAAUUGUGAGUCACAGUCACAAUUUUCAGGUCACGUAUCCAAUUGUGAGUCACAAAUCAACCAAACCGUCACUACCAUCACCAUGACCACCAAAACCGCUAGGAUCAAAUGUGACUCCCAAAUUGUGAGUUACAAUUGAGAGUCACAAUCACAAGUUUCGGGUCACGUAUCCAAUUAUUUGUCACAAAAUCAACCAAACCUUCGUGACCACCACAACCACCGCCACAACCAUCACACCACCGCCACACACACCCCGCACACUGCCCCACACACGCACCCCCCUACAGUAACACCGCCACACCACACCCAUCCCUACAACACUACCACACCACACGCACACAACCGCCAGAGUGAAGCCACUACAACAAAGCCAUCGCCGUUGCCAGAGCCACCACAACGCACCAUCCCACCCACAUCACACACCACAGCCCACACGAACAAAACCACCAUCACCCAUCGCCACUAACAAAAUCCAACAAAUUCGCCAUCGAGAAUCCACCAUUACCACCACCAACAAAACAACCGCCACCCCAAAUCCAACAAAUCGCCGCCAUAGCCACCCAAGCACCACCAACAAAUCGGAUUCUCAAAAUCACCAUUGCCAGAACCAGAAGGCUGUUGGAUGUGUGCAGUCAUGUCGGCGCCAUCAUGCGUGGCGCUCGCCCUCCGGUGAUUUGUGUGUAGAUCACCUUCGUUAGUGGUGGUUGGUUGCGUCUCAUUGAAGGAGAAGGCGAGAGAUGGGGAAGAGGCUUAGUGAAGGAGAAGCCAAUAGGCAACAUCAUGUGCGGUGCUCGCCACCAAUGGUUUGCGUGUGGAUUGCCUUUGCUGGUGGUGGUUGGGGAAGCUCAAUGAGGCAAAAGAGGAGAGGUGGUGUAUCCACUCAUGGAAGGAGAAGACGAGAUGGAGGGGAGAGAGUAUUAGGGUUUGGGGUUGAAAUUGUGUGGUAAAUGAAUUAUUAAGCAAUUAAACAUAUCAACAUCUGAUUUUUGAAAGGUUAAACUAUUCAUCUUAUUUUAGAAUUGUGAAUUUUUAAAGUAGGGAAAUGUGUAAUUUCCACUUUCGCUAUUAUAAAUUGUCGUGUAUCCCUUUUAGUGUAAUUGGGCUUUGGCACCGAUCACUUUUUGAUGUCAUAGGAUCUUAGUUAUCAAAACUUGAUUCGAUUAUUAAUCCUGUUAAAUUUCUGAGUUAAAAGACCGUUGGUUUAAUUGACGGAUCAAAAAAAAUGUUUGUUGAUAUGACAUUUUACCAAUUUAGUAUUCUGUCACGUUAUGCAGCACUUAAUCCAAUGUUCCCUAAAUUAAACAAAAACAGACGUUUGUUGACAUGAAAUUGGACUAGUUCUCUUUUGCACAUGCCUUGCACUAUUUAGGUUAAUGCUUUAUUGAAAUUUGUUAGUUUUGUCAAAUUUCUUGUCACGUGCUUUUGUCAAAUUUUUACUAGUAGGCAACGUGGGCAAAAAGAUAUGUCACUUUUUUUCUCUCCUUUUUUUUUUUUAAAUGACGGGAGAACUGCAGCCUCUAUCCUUCGGGUGUACACUGGGUAAACCCUUGGGUUGACGCAAUAGUCUGCAAAUCACGUCAGUCAGUUAAAUAGCACUACGCAAGCUCGGUGCGACAGGCUCGAUCGAGAAAGUGUUAAGAGGUGGAAUCGAGCUCGUGAUUAAAGGUCUCCGUGCUAUCCCACUCUACCAGCUCGGUCACCCCAUGAGAGACAAUCACACACACUAUUUUGCUCUAUAUUAAAAGUUAAAAGUGAUAUGUUGAACACUCCAAAAUAAUUAGAGUUCUCAAUUUUUAGAGUGUCAUUUCUAUCUAAUAUCUAUAAUCAGAAACUAUCUUGUUUUAUCAAAGCUCAGGCACCGUGAGUAAUUAAAUGCAAGCUAUCAUUUUGUCCCUCGAUAUGAUUUGUCAAAUUCUUGUUGAAAUGCGACACGUUGUAUCACUUAUUAAUUAACAAUUUUUUAAAUAAAUUUUUGUUGCUUUAAAAAUUAGCUUGAAAGUACAUAUCAAGAAGUGACAUGCCUUGUUAUUUUUUUAUUUUUUUCAAAACGACAUACUGCAAUUAUUAUUGCGGCUGUAAAAUCAAAUUUGUAAAAGGUAAGCAAGUGAUUUUGCAAUAAUUUCAAAUAGACGGGGCAUCUUUCUCCAAAGGAACAUGCAGCUCAAGAAAUGAAGGUUAGGACAGAAGCAUACAUUGUGAAGUGAGAAAGAGAACAAAAAUUCCAUUAACUGAUCAGUAGAUCGAAUAUACGAUGGUUUGCACUUGAAACACCUUGAUCUAUAUCUCGACUUAUUGAAUUUGCACUUGGCACAACCUCACACAACCCUAAAAUCUAGCAUUGUCAUUUCCUUGAACACUCAUUUGGUUGAAAUGAGUAAUCAAAACUUAAAAUAUUCUUGUUGAGUAUAUGGAGAAGAAGAGAAGAUAAUGUUAAAUUUCAAUAUUUGGGCUACUUUCUUUUUCAAUUUUUCUGAAUCAUUUCUUCUUGUUGUAAUUUGUGUUUAUGGUGUUCAUUUUUCAAUAAUAGCUUUGAAUUCAUUUUAUUAUUAAAUUAGAGUUUUGAUAUGGGUUGCUUUUUAAUCUUUCUUGUUAUUUCUUAUUUUUGAAGUGAAUAUGUUGAUAAACACAUAUUUGGAUAUUCUGUUUGUUGUUCUAUUGUGAAACAUAUAUUUUAUUUUCCCCUUCCAGAACAACUUACGUAUCGUUUUCUACAACCCAUAACAACAUACCUUUCAUUAUCAAUAAUGUACGAAGUUCAAUAUUUGAUGAAAUUUUAAAAUUUUCAUGUUGAAUUGCAAUUAUGAACACCGUAGAUAUGUUGGGGAUUUAGUUUUUUUAUUUAAUUGAAUAUAAGCGGUAAGUUAAAAGUGCUUGGAAAUGGAAAUAUGCAAUGAAUGACAAAAGGAAAAAUGUGCUUAUUCUCAUUUUGAAAACAAUUUCUUGUGUGAACUUGUAUGAUAAAAUCAGAGAGGUGUUGAUAAUUGAUACAAUGCUAUACAAAAUAAAGAUGUCAACUCUUGUCCCUAUAAUGUCUAAGGCUCCAAUUGUAAGAAAACUAGUCAUAUUCGCCCCAUUUAUAAAGGUAAAAUAGUUGAUAGUGAAAUUUAAAGUUGUAAUAUUGUCGUAAUUUGUAGCUUUAUUAUUUUUGUACUUAUUGAAAGUACAAAAUGAUUUAUUAGAUUUUGUAGUCAUUGUGCUAUUAUCACUAUUGUGCAAUUGAAACAAAAUUAAAGUCAUUUCACGUUGCCGUGUUAUUUCACAUUACAGACAAACGACUUUUAUAUUGUUAUAGCUAACGCAUGUGUCGUUCCAGUAUAAAAAUACAUAGAUUCACAUAAUGACAUUAACAACGUUCAUGAGAUACAAAGUGAUAUUGAUGUCGUUCCAGUACGAAAAUUACACUAAUUCACAUAACGAUAUUGAAAUCAUUCCUGAAAUAUAAAACGAAAUUGAAGUUUCAAUAUAAAAAUUACACUAUCUUACGGAUUUUCAUAACAACAUUAAAGUAGUUAUAGACCAAUAAAACAACAUGGAAUGAAAGACGUUAUAUAAAAUACUUGCAUAACACAUGCGACAUAUGAAACCAUCACGUGCGCGUCCAAUGGACCAUUUGCUUUCUCGGGUUGUAAACAACUCGGAGAAUUUUCUUGGAGUUAACGUUUCAUCCCCAAUCUUUUGUUUUUCAUUUAGUGGAGACUUUCAUCAUGCAAUUUUCUAAAAAGACAAAAAAUCAGAAGUAUCAAACUCAAGAAAUAACAUAAACAACAUCCGUAUCUUUUCAAUACAAAUUUGAUGAGAUUGAAAUCGCUCAUGUUCAAAUCAUAACUAAAAUGACAAAGAUAUUGUUUUUUAAUAUGGAACGAUAUUGACAUCACAAUGUAUUAAACUCAUGAAAUAACAUAACGAUAUUUAUAUCAUUUUAGUUCAAAUCAUAAAUUUUUUUAUAAAGAAAGAUAUAAUUAUCGUUUACGUAAAAAAAGCGGUAUAUAUAUGUCGUUGUAGUUAUGAUUUGAAUUGGAAUAAUUUCAAAUUCAUCAAACUUAUUAAAAAAAAAAGAUAUAGAUGUCGUUAUGUUAUUUCAAAGGUUUGACACAACGAUAUCAUUAUUGUUUCAUUACAAUUUUGAUGACAUUGAUAUCGUUUUAGUUUAAAUCAUAACUAAAACAAUAUAUAUAUCGUUUGACUUUAUAUAAAAUAAUAAUUAUAUCAUUUCUGUUAGAAAUGACGAUUCAACCUUCCACAAUCGUCCAGCAUGCAUCCGAAAUAUGUAAGACGAUCGAAAUAGGUCGUUAAGUGGUUUCGAUCUCCCUUAAAAGAAACUAUGGAAACAUUUGUGUUCCCAUGAUUGUAUACUAUCUUUAAAUUAUUUCGAUAGAAAAAAGUAUCUUCGUUCGCUCUUUCUAAGUCAUUCGGGUAGUGUCAACCUAUUUGAUGACCUCUUUUCAGUCAUCUAUGUAUGUUGAAGUCAUCCGAGUGGCUGUGUACGGUUGAACCGUUGUUUUUAUAUAUCCUUUUUGCUAAAAAUGACGAUUUGACCAUCCACGGCCACCUGACUUGCCUUCCACAUACGUAAGACGAUCAAAAAAGGUUAUCAAAUUGGUUUAUAUUGCUCAAACAGCUUAGAAAGAGCGUCAUUUUUAGUCAAAAUGGUACAAUUAUCGUUUUAUAUGAAAAGAAACGACUUCGAUGUCAUUGUAGUUAUGAUUUGAAUUGAAACAAGCUCAAUCUCAUCAAAUUUGUAUUGACACAACAUGGAUAUCAUUAUUUUAUUUCGUGCGUUUGAUACAUAACGACAUUGAUAUUGUUACGUAUUAAAAGUAACGACUUCAAUGUCAUUGUAUUAUGAGUUGAAUUAGAAUGAUAUUAAUGUCGUAAAUAUUGUAUUUAAAUGACUUAAUUGUCUUUAUGUUAUUUUAUGGGUUUAUGUAUAACGUUAUUAAUGUCGUUAUAUAUUAAAAGAAACUACUUCAAUGUUUUAGGAGUGACUUGGCGCUCAUGCAUGGUCCAUGCCGAUGCAUGCAUUUUUUAAUCGAAAUGACUAAUCUAUAAUGACUUUAAUAUCGAUAUGAAAAUUAGUAAAGUAGUAUAUAUUUAGUAUGAAAAUGAUAUAAAUAUCUUUUUGUGUCUCAGAAAUGAUUUCAAUAUCGUUAUUUUAAUAGGUGCAAUUUUCGUAUGGGAUAAUACCAAUACCGUUUUGUGUCUCAAGAAUGAUUUCAAUAUCAUUAUACGAAUGAGUGCAGUUUUUCAUUGGAACGACAUCAAUAUUGUUUUGUGUCACAAGAACGAAGUCUAUAGAGUUAGAUGAAGCAGUAAAUAUAUUUUGACCUAACAACCUAAAUAUCGUUUUAUUCAUCAUAGAAUAAUAUCAUUAUCCUGGACAUGUACGAUAUUUAAACUUAAAAGUUAUGAAGACAUGAAAAUAUUUAAAUUUCAAUUACAUUCGAUAUCCUUAAUCGUCAUAGUUGCAAAUGCACUAGCUAGUAGCUACACAACAUCCUCAAAAUAUUGAGUAGUCUACACAAAGAAAACGAAUUAUAUACAAUACCCUAAAACAUCAACUACUCGAUCCUAACAAACAAAACAAAGUAACUAUAAUAUCAAAACAUCAAUAAAAAUAGCAAUAAACAAUCUAAGGCUUGAAAUCUCAUGCCAACAACUCUGUAGCCAAUUUCUUCCGUCAUAUAGGUAUAUGAUGCAAGCGAAUUUCAUUUAUAUCCAUUUUCGCUUGUAGAGAUUUUAUGCAUUUUAGAGGGAAUAUUCCACAGUCAAAUCUAAAAAAUAGUUGUGCAGUUAUAUUAAUUCUCAGUACUAGAAUAAUAUAGUUCUAACAAAUGUGAAGGUAGUCAACCUUACCCAUUUCUUUAUUGAGAAACAUAUUUCACAUUCAUAAAUUUGAACUCUUCCGUGCUAAUAUUUUUCAUCACUUGUGACCUGCAAUUUUAUUAACAAAGGAAUAACCUCCUGUAAGGUUAGAAUAUAAGCUUUCAAAGCUGCCUUACGAAUGUAACCUUUCAGACUAUCAAACUUAAAAAUUGUCCGUUCCACCAGAUUGAUUUGAAGUGCGAACCAAUGCUAGUAAAGAACAUAAAAAAAUAUGCAUAAGCUGUAUAAAUCAAAUUACUAGCUUUAUAACCAAAUGCGAAAUCAUCACGAAAGAUUAUUCUUUAUUUCAGACAUUACUUAAUAGUUUAAUAAGAGGAAUUAAGUCCAAUUCUAAGCACAACCUCCUAUUAUUAUUAUUAUUAUUAUUAUUAUUAUUAUUAUUAUUAUUAUUAUUAUUAUUAUUCAUAACUUAGAAGAUAGAAAACAUCAAAUUUGUAGAGAAAGUAUAAUAUGAAUUUUAAGCCUCAUUUUAGGUAUAUAUAUUACUCUCAUAAAAGUUUGACACUCAUGGGUAAAGUGAGCUUAUAUGGUGAAGUUGCCAUUUUAUAUGCAAAACUGGAAGAAAUAUAAAUCAUAUGGUGAAAUCGUCAUUUUUACCAAAAUCGACAAUAAUAUAUCUAAUGGUAUUUAGAAAAAUGCAAGACUUUGUACUUUAAUUGCUAGAAAAGAAAAGAAAAUCUAAUGGCCUUUCUUAAAGCAAAAAUGAGAAUGUUAGUCAAGCGGUAGCCAAUUCUAUUAUGCCAUCUUUAACAUUGUCUUUUACUUCCAUCUCAUCCCAUCAAAUAAGCAUUACAUUGCAGAGAAAGUAUAAUAUCAAUUUUAAGCAUCAUUUUAGGUACAUAUCACUCUUGUAAAAGUUUGACACUUACGGGUAAGGUGAGCUUAUAUGGUGAAGUUGCCAUUUUAUAUGCAAAAUUGGAAGAAAUAUAAAUCAUAUGGUGAAGUCGUCAUUUUUACCGAAAUCGACAAUAAUAUAUUCAAUGGUAUUUAGCAAAAUGCAAGACUUUGUACUUCAAUUGCUAGAAAAAAAAAACGAAAAUCUAAUGGCCAUACUUAAAGCAAAAAUGAGAAUGUCAGUCAAGUAGUGGUCAAUUCUAAAGGCAGCUUGCUUGAAUUAAAUAUUUAUUAAUCCAUUUUCUACUACUUGUGUGGAGGACGCCAAAUUAACAUUUAUUGAAUUAAACUAAGAAUAUUAGUCAAGUUAGUAUUUGAUUUGAAGUUGGGAUUUUUGUUUGUUUCUCUAGAUUUUAUGGUUAAGUGAGAUUGGCAAGCAAGCAAACACAUGGUACAACAAGGAAAGCAAAAGUUAAGGGAUUUCUUAUUCUCAGAUAUAAUUUUCCUAUCAUAUCACUGUUGAAAAAUAUUGGCAAAUAAUAGUGUCACCGUAAUGUAUAUUUGGGCAGAGUAACGAUGUUUUGAUGAUUUUGAAUGGUCGAGGCAAGAGUUUGACUCUUUCUCCUUAAAACGAUAAUGCCCCGCACUGGUACCGACGAUAUUGCAGCACUCCUUUCCCAACUUACAACGACCUCGUCUUGUAAUAGUAGUACUCCAAAUUACAAGACUCGACGAACCCGUAAAGUUUAGAUCUCUCCACACAAAUUGGAUGACUAAAAUGCACGAAAAAUAAUUUUGGAGGACUGAAUUAUAAAAGCAGAAAUGAUGCAGGGACAAUGAGAUAAUUUUGGGAGAGUAGAAAAUCAAUUCCGAUUUUGGAAUGAAUUAAAAUCGGGAUAUUGGGGGCCUAUAUAUAGAUAUUGAAAGGUUGUGUCACAACAGACACAACCGUCGAAAAGUUGUGUCCAAAAGAUACAAACAGUUUGGACAGUCAACCGCCACAACCGAUUAAACAUUCAACCGCCAAAUUUUAGAAGCACCACGUGUCACACACAGAAAAUUCGGGAAGAAAAAAAUAAUAACAUAAAAUAUAUUAUUAUUAUUAUUAUUAUUAUUAUUAUUAUUAUUAUUAUUAUUAUUAUUAUUAUUAUUAAAUAAUAAUAAAAUAAUAUAAUUCAAAUGUUAUUUUACCAAAAAAAAAUAUAUCAGCUUGGCCCAAACCCACGACCCACGACUCGUGAUCGUGCUGUUGGCGCGCGCGUGUGGGCUUUAGCUUAACCUACUAGCAUGUAGGUUCUCUCCCCCUCAAAGAUUAUUGGUAUCCCUGGAGUCCAAACCCAAGUCUCAAACUUGAGCUAUAUAAGGUGGUUUAUAUUCUUCUAGUUUUUCUAUGUGGGAUUGGUAUUUUUCAAUUUUCCACCUAUUUUAUUUCAACAUCAAGUGGGCAUCUUUUGGCCUUAAUUUUUCAUUCACCCUAAAUUGAUUUUGAGAAAAUAAAUAUACCAUGUUAAUCUACUUAUGGAAUAGAAAAUAUUUGGCCAAAGAAAUCUUACAUCCGAUUAUCGGGGCCCACUAAAUUAAUUGGUCAAAAGUUGGUUAAACCAACUAAUUAAAAUCCCAUUUUUCCAACAAUCUCCCACAUGAAUGAAAAUUAAUGCAAUAGACUAUGCGGACCCUAUAGAGAGAUCAGGUGGAAUGUUAUCGCAUCUGGAUAGGUACCUUAUGGGUUUGAACCUUCCAUAGUAGAAUACUAUCGGAUUUACUUGGUUAAUCAGUGAACGUGGUGCCUUGAACUGUCAGCCCUUUUUGUAAACCAAGACAAUAGAAUCAAAACAAUAACCUUCCUAACAUUUUCAAGUUCUCAAUGUUGUGUUCAUUUUGGCUCUGAACAACUCUUGGAUUUCAUAAGUGCUUUAGAGAAUUCAAACAUUUGAAAAUUCUCAUAGAAGUGGCCACACUUCACACUUGUAUAGGUGAUCUCCUAUUAAGAGUACCUGCUAUACUCCACUUAGGUAGUCCAAGAUAUAGGAAUCAUUAAAAGUAUAACUUAACCUAAAACUUUCUGCAGAUAGCACUUCCUUAUCAUAGGAAUGGGCAGGAGUUAACUCCGAAGUUCUUAUUUAAAUCUUCAUAACUUAGUUGUCCCAUUGAACCAAGAUUUUGGGAUCUCCAAUCAGCAAGGUUGGGUUACCAUUACAAAUAUUCUUAUGUAGUAGGCUUUAAGCCCAUUCCGCUUGAUAGGCAGUAUACUUGAUCUCUUGGUAAGCCUUUGGUAAGCGGAUCCGCAAGAUUUUCUCUAGACUUUACAUAAUCUAUGGAAAUAACACUAGUUGAGAUCAACUGCUUAACUGUAUUAUGUCUUCGACGAAUAUGUCGAGACUUACCAUUAUACAUACUACUUUAUGCUAUACCAUUAUACAAUGUAUACUAAUUGCAGGUACAGGCUUAGGCCAACAUGGAAUAUCCUCUAAAAAAUUUCGAAGCCAUUCUGCUUCCUCUCCAGCUUUAUCUAAAGCUAUGAAUUCAGAUUCCAUUGUGAAUCAAGCUAUACAUGUUUGUUUAGAGGAUUUCCAAGAUACAGCCACACCACCAAUGGUAAAAACAUACCCACUAGUGGAUUUCGAGUCUUUUGUAUAUGAUAUCCAAUUAGCAUCACUGUAUCCUUCUAAUACAGUUGGAUAUCUCGUAUAAUGUAAUCCAACAUUUGAGGUGUAUCGUAGAUAUCUAAGAACCUUACCAGUACUUUCCAAUGGUCAUUAUUUGGGUUACUUGUAUAUCUACUAAGUUUGUUUACUGCAUAUGCAAUAUCCGGAUGAGUGAGUUUGUAAUGUUCAUUAGACUGCCUAUUAUCCGAGAAUAUACUAAUUGAGAUACGAGUUCGUCUUUAUGUUUGGCCAAAUGUAGACUUAAGUCUACUAGUGUUUUAAUUGGACUUUCAUCAUACAUAUUAAACUUUUUAAGUACAGUCUCAAUAUAGUGAGAUUGAGACAUUACAAGUCCCUCAGAUGUUUUAAGAAUUUUAAUUCCUAAUAUUACAUCUGCAAUACCCAUAUCUUUCAUGUCAAAAUGUUUUGUCAAUAUUUUCUUGGUAUUUGUUAUCAUAUCAUAACUACUACCCACAAUUAGCAUGUCAUCAAUGUAUAGACAUACAAUUACAUAUGCAUUAGGUGUGGUUUUAAUAUAAAUACAUUUAUCACAUUCGUUAAUCUUAAAACCAUUUGACAACAUAGUUUUGUCAAAUUUUACAUGCCAUUGUUUUGGCGCUUGUUUUAGUCCAUGUAAUGACUUGACUAGUCUACACACCUUUUUCUCCUGUCCAGGAGCAAUGAAUCAUUCGGGUUGUUCCAUGUAAAUUUCUUCUUCUAGCUCACCAUUUAAGAAAGCUGUUUUGACGUCCAUCUAAUGGAUUUUCAAAUUAUGCAAUGCUACGAUUGUAAUUAAUACUCUAAUUGAUGUUAUCCUUGUCACAGGUGAGUAUGUAUCGAAAAAAUUAAGGCCUUCCCUUUGUUUGAAUCCUUUAACUACCAAUCUGGCCUUGUAUUUAUCAACUGAUCCAUCAGUCUUUAAUUUUCUUUUGAAAAUCCAUUUAUAACCUAAUGGUUUAUUACCAGGUGGGAGAUCUACCAAUUCCCACGUAUGAUUCUGCAUAAUAGAAUCAAUUUCACUAUUGAUAGCCUCUUUCUAGAAUGGAGUUUCUGGACUAGACAUUGCUUCAUUGUAUGUCCUAGGUUCAUUUUCUAACAUAUAAGUUAAAAAAUCUGGACCAAAAGAUGUAGAUGUUUUGGUUCUUUUGCUGCAUCUUGGUUCUUCAUCACUUUGAGGAUUACUAAUUGCAGAAUCAUAAGUUCGUUUUUGCGGGCUUAUUUCUUUCCUAUCUUUACAAGGAAACUUGUCCUCAAAAAAUACAGCAUUCCUAGAUUCAAUGAUAGUAUUUUCAUGUAUAUCCGGAAUGUCAGACUUAUAUACGAGGAACCGAUAAGCACUACUGUUAUUAGCAUAUUCAAUGAAUAUGCAAUCGAUGGUUUUAGGCCCUAUUUUAACUUGUUUAGGCUUUGGUAUUCGUACCUUAGCCAAACACCCCACACUUUUAAGUAUUUGUACGAAUGUUUAUGACCUUUUCAUACCUCAUAAGGAGUUUUAUUCCUACUUUUGUGUGGUACUUUAUUUAGAAUGUGGUUAGUUGAAAGAAUUGCUUCCCUCCACAAAUUUUGUGGUAAACUAGAACUAACCAACAUAGCAUUCAUCAUCUCUUUUAGAGUACGAUUUUUACGUUCCGCAAUACCGUUUGAUUGAGGUGAAUAAUGAGCUGUAGUUUGAUGAAUAAUCCCAGAAUCUGAACAAAAUUCAUCAAACGGUGCUCCAUAUUCCCCACCUCUAUCACUACGAAUAAUUUUUAUUCGUUUGCUUAGUUGAUUCUCAACCUCAUUCUUGUACUGUUUAAAUGCUUCUAAAGUCUCAUCUUUACUCCUUAGCAAAAAGACAUAACAAUACCUUGUGCAAUCAUCUAUAAAAGUAAUAAAAUACUUUUUAUUUCCUCUAGUUUGCACAAACUUUAAAUCACAAAUAUCACUGUGAAUUAGUUCUAGAGGAUUCGAGUUCCUUUCAACUGAAUGAAACGGUGUUUUCGCUAAUUUAGCCUCUACACAUGUUUCGCAUCGAUGAUUUUGAUCAAAGAACAUAGAAGGCAAUAGAUCUGAACUUACUAAUCUUCGUAAAGUAUUAACAUUUACAUGUCCUAACCUAUCAUGCCAUAAGUUAGAAGACUCAAUCAAGUAAGCAGAAGAUUUAUUUUUAUUAAUAUCAAAAUCACGGAGUACAGGCAUUACAUUCAAUUUGAAUAGCCCAUUGGCUAAGUAUCCUUUGCCUACAAACAUGUCAUUUUUGGUGAAUACAAAUUUGUCAGAUUCAAAUACCAGCCUAAACCCAGCUCCGGAUACCAAGUUUUUGCGAAUAUCGGGAACAUGCAGCACAUCGAUGAGUGUUACUUCUUUCUCUGAUGUCAUCUUCAGCACUACUUUACCUAGACCAAUAACUUUUAAUGCUGCCGAAUUGCCCAUGAAAAGUUGUCGUCCAUUGAUAGGAGUGUAAGAUGAAAACAUCUCCUUACCAGCACAAACGUGACGAGUAGCGCCAGUAUCAACAAACCAUUCUCUCGAAUUAUCCACCAUGUUUGCUUCAAAUACAACAGCCGAGAGCAUUAGUUCAGCACUUUGUUAGAUAGUCUUGUCUUCUUAACUCAAGUGCACUUGGUCCUUUUUGUUUUGCUUUUUCUGCCGGCAGUCCUUUGCAAUAUGACCAGGCUUACCGCAGUUAUAGCAAUCUCCUUUGAAUUUCUUGGCCUUGUUCUUUUGCUUGCCAUUAUUCGGGUGCUUCAUUUUCUUGCUAGUAUUUGGCUCCACCAAAUUGACUUUAGCCUCCAUUUGCUGCAUUCCAGACUUCUUUUCAGCAUUUCGAUUGUCUUCUUCAAUUCUUAAUCUAACAAUCAAAUCUUCAAGUCCCAUUUCCUUGCGUUUAUGUUUCAGGUAGUUCUUAAAAUCUUUCCACAUUGGUGGUAAUUUUUCGAUAAUUACAACUACCUAAAAUGGUUCACAGAGCUUCAUGCCUUCUGCAUGUAUAUCGUGCAAGAUAAGUUGUAUCUCUUGGACUUGAGUAAUUACUAUUUUAGAAUCUACCAUUUUGAAGUCCAAGAAUUUGCCUACAACGAAUUGCUUCAAUCAGGCAUCUUCUGUUUUGAACUUCUUUUCCAAUGAUUCCCACAGUAAUUUACCUAUUUUGACGGAACAGUAUACGUUAUAUAGUAUGUUGUCAAGGCAAUUGAGGAUGUAAUUUCUGCACUAGAAGUCACUAUGACUCCAAGCAUCGAAUGCUGCUCAUUUUUGAGAAUCUGUUUCCUUCUCCUCAACAGUUGGAGCAUCUUCUCUCAAGAUUUUGACCAGAUUCAGAGUCAUGAGAUAGAACAACAUUUUCUAUUGCCAUCUCUUAAAAUCCACUCUCGUGAAUUUUUUCGAUUUCUCCCCGUGAGCAUUGUUAGGGGGUACGACAAAAGUACUACUACUUGCCAUUAUCGUUUUAAGAUUGUUAAAAAAUAUUGACAAAUAAUAGUGUCACCGUAAUGUAUAUUUGGGCAGAGUAACGACGUUUGGAUGAUUUUGAAAAUGGUCGAGGCAAUAGUUUGACUAUUUUUCCUUAAAACGAUAAUGUCCUGCACUGGUACUGACAGUAUUGCAGCACUCGUUUCCUAAAAUACAACGAUAUCGUCUUGUAAUAGUAGUACUCCAAAUUACAAGACCCGGUGAACCUGUAAAGUUUAGAUCUCUCCACACAAACUGGAUGACUAAAAUGCACGAAAAAUAAUUUUCGAGGACUGAAUUAUAAAAAUAGAAAUGAUGCAGGGACAAUGGGAUAAUUUCGAGAGAGUAGAAAAUCAAUUCUGAUUUUGGAGUAUAUAUAGAUGUUGAAAGGUUGUGUCCCAACAGACACAACCGCUGAAAAGUUGUGUCUAAAAGACACAAACAGUUUGGACAGUCAACCGCCGCAACCGAUUAGACAUUCAACCGUCAAAUUUUAGAAGCACCACGUGUCACACACAGAAAAUUCGGGAAGAAAAAAAUAAUAACAUAAAAUUAUUAUUAUUAAAUAAUGAUAAAAUAAUAUAAUUCAAAUGUUAUUUUACCAAAAAAAAAUAUAUCAGCUUGGCCCAAGCACACGACCCGUGACCGUGCUGUCGACGCGCUCGUGUGGGCUUUGGCUUAACCUACUAGCAUGUAGGUUCUCUUCCCCUCAAAGAAUAUUGGUACCCCUUGGAGCCCAAACCCAAGUCCCAAACUUGAGCUAUAUAAGUUGGUUUAUAUUCUUCUAGUUUUUCUACGUGGGAUUGGUAUUUUCCAAUUUCCCAUCUAUUUUAUUUCAACAUCAAGUGGGGCAUCUUUUGGCCUUAAUUUCUCAUUCACCGUAAAUUGGUUUUGAGAAAAUAAAUAUACCAUAUUAAUCUACUCAUGGAGUAGAACACAUUUGGCCAAAGAAAUCUUAUAUCCGAUUAUCGGGACCCACUAAAUUAAUUGGUCAAAAGUUGGUCAAACCAACUAAUUAAAACCCCAUUUUUCCAGCAAUCACAAACGUGGAUCAAUAAAUGUUUAAUUCAAGCAAGUUGACAUGGGGUAAAUCACAUAGUGGUGGUCGGUUUUAAAGGCAAUUAAAAACCCACAAACAAUAUCUUGAAAAAAUCUAGAGAUUGACAGAAAAUUGUUGUUGAAUAAGGAAAAUUACCAUAAUGAAACAACAUUUUUGGGAAAAAUAAUAAAUUCUAAGGAGCUAGAAGCUGAGAAAUGUUUGAGAUUAAAUCAUUCACACACAAUCAAAUCGAGUCGAAAAUCAAGGAAUAGAGCCCAAAAGAAUUAGAUGAUGUUUCUAAAUAAACAUAUGAUAUUACCUCCCAAAUUUGGUAAUGGUGCCAAAAGGUUAUUAACAUGUUUCCUUUUUUUGCACUCUUUCAUAGUAAAUUAUUCUCAAUUUUUAUUGCAAUGCCGUGUUUCAUCAAGCAUGUAGUUAGGUUGUUCGUCGGCUGGCGAUUUGGUUGGGAAAACCCAAGAUUAUGGGGAAAGGAAGAAGACAGAUUUGAUUUGAAAAUGAAGAUGUAAAUGCUCCUUUUCAAUUUGGGUAUAAAUGGGUUUUGACGUGAAUAAAUCUCCAAUUUCUUCUUCAAUUUGGUUUUACAAGAUAAGAAUAAGGUGAUCUUUUUAUAUUUUUAAGUACUUAAAUUUCAUUUUAUUUUUGAGAAUUUGAUCAAAGUUCGUUUCAACAAAAAGAUAUUGAGGAGGGCGUGGGAGACAUUUCAACUCAUUCCCACGUAGUGAUACUGAUACUGUUUUAAUUAUGUAGAGGACAAAGCUGAAGGGCAAAACCUAAAAAGAUCUCAGACCCCUUUCUAACUACCACUCAACAAUCAUAAAAAGUUGCAAACACUUAAAUACCAGUCCACAAACACAGCCAUGUACAACAUGUAGGGAAUCAUAGUACUAGAUAAUCUCACGGGGGAUUGAUUUAAAAGGCUCAGUUAAACUAAACAACAAUUUAAGAAGGCCAAGAACUAAGGUUAUUAAUUAAAAGACUUUAAGUUAUUAAACAUGGAAAAUAGAAUUUGUAAAAGAGUAAAAUAUCCUUGUAUGCAAAAUGUUAUUAUUGUCCUAAUUUUCAUUUCAAUUUCCUUUCAACCCUAAUUGAAAUCCUCCUCUAUGAACGACUCUCUACGGUAUGCCUUCAUGCUCAUUUUCUUAUCAUCUUCUUUUAACAAAAUCUAUAUUCCCAUUUCCUUAAACAUUUAUUUGGUUGAAGUGAAUAAUAAAGUCUUGCUAUAUUCUUGUUGGGCAUUUGGAGAAGAAGAGAGGGUAUGGUAAAUUUUCAAUAUUUGGGCCGCUUCCUUUCUCCAUUACUUUGAAUCAUUUGUUCACGUUGUUGUAUAUGUGUUUGUGAUGUUCAUUUGUCAAUAAUGAUUUUCGAUUCAUUUUAUGAUUAGAUUGGAGCUUUAACAUGGGUUACGUCCCAAUUUUAUUCUCAUUAUCCCUUAUUUGUAUUAAUUAAAGUGAAAUGUGAAGUGGUGAAUGAUGAUUGGCUAUUCUUCUCAUUGUUUUCAUGUGAAAUAUACAUUUGACUUUUUUCAGUACAGAACGACAUACAUAUCGUUUUCUGAAAUCCUAAACGACAUAGAUAUAUUUUUUUGAAAUCCAUGACGAUGCACAUAUCGUUAUCAAUACUGUAUGAUGUUUGAAAUUUGAUAAAAUUUAUAUCUUAAAUUACAUGUUAUGGACACCAUGGACAUGGUAUGGAUAUCGAUUUGUUAUCCAGUUGAAUAUGAGCAGACAGUUGAAGGUGCAUGGAAAUAGAAGUAUCCUGGGAAUGACAAAGGGAAAACAAUGCCUAUUCUUGUUGCAAAAAUAAUUUCUUAUGUGGAACAAUAUGAUAAAAUUAAAGAGGAAUUGAAUAUCGAUACGAGGCUAUACAAAAUGGAGAUUUAAUCUCUUGUCCCGAUAAUGUCUAAAUCUUCAGCUGCACCAAUCAUAAUUAAUUGUGAUAACAACGUGAAGUGGUUUAUAUCUAUCUGUAGAGAAAUUUUUCUUCGUGUAACUCUUUCGAAUGAAGUUGUUGAGAAUCGAGAAGAUUUUUGUGAUGAAAAAUGUUUAUUACUAAUAGAUGGUGGAGAACAAAUUGGAAAUAUGAACGAGGAUAAACAUGAUCAAACAGAUAACGACGGUAACGAUGACAAUGGUGAUGGAAUAUUUGUAGAUUAUAAUGAUUUUGACGUAAGUGAAGGUAGUUCCCGAAGACUAGAUGACGAAGUUAAUUAUUCUAUUGCAGGCGACAAUAAUUUUAAGUUACAAACUCAUGAACCCUAUAGUCGGAAUAUAGUGAAUGGUAAUGAUAUUGAAUGUACUCAAAUUAUAACUGCAAGUGUAAGUUUACUCUGUUAUGAGAUAUAGUAAGAAUUUCGAAAAAUGAAGAUGUGUGAGUCAACCAGUUGUUUCCAUUGAAACAUGACCUAAUAGCAAAAUUGCAGUUGCUAGCUGUGAAGUGCCACUUUAAGUAAAAAAUUAAGAAGUCAAAUGAGAGCACUUAUAUAAUUAUUUAUAUUGAUGAAAAUUGCAAGUGGCACUUACGAGCAACCAAGAUCAUAGAAAGUCCAAUUUCAGAGUUCGAAAGUACAAUGGUUGUCACUCUUGCUCCAUGAGUGUUCGUCUCAGAGAUCAAAGGCAUGAUUCAUAUAUGGUUAUUGGAAACCACAUAACUCCUAAGUAUGAAGAUGUCAACCAAGUUUACAGAUCAAAGGACAUUAUUAAUGACAUUCAUCGACAGUUCGGCAUAACCAUAAGCUAUACUAAAGCGUAUAUGGCUAAAAAAUUUGCUUGUGAACUGAUUCGUGGAAACCCUGUGAGAGUUAUGAGAAAUUGCCAACAUAUUGUCAUGUUUUGGAGAUGCAAAAUCCUGGUACACUGACAUUCAUUCAUGCUGCUAAUGAUAGGCAUUUCAAGUGCCUUUUUAUGGCAUUGGGACCAACUAUACAUGGAUUCCUCAACUCAAUGUGAAAUGUAAUUUCUAUUGAUGGUGCAUUCUUGACAUCGAGAAUGAAAUGUACUCUAUUCGUAGCAACUUAUCAGGAUACAAAUUUUCAAAUAUUUUCGCUCGCAUGGAAAGUAGUUGAUUCGAAGAAUGAUAAAACUUGUACUUAGUUUUUUCAGAAGUUGUGAUUAAUAACAGGUGAUAUGGACGACCUUGUGAUUAUAUCUGAAUGUGUUACAAGCACUAAAAAUGAAGUUAGAGUUAGAACCAACUCGAAGGUGAUAGACAACUAUGAAAUCACAAACAUUACCAUAUUUUGUUCAAGUGAGAUUGAACUAGCUCGAUGGCCAAUUUUUAUCGUCGUACAUAUGACGGACGUAUGUUGAGUGGCCAUGGAUGGUCGAAUCGUCAUAUUUAAGCACAACGAUAUAAUUGUCGAUUCGAGUGUAAAGAAACGAUACCAAUAUCGUUUAAUUAUUAUUUCAACUGAAACAAUUUCGAACUCGUCAAAUUUGUAAUGAGAUGUCAUUUCAGGAACGAUUACACUACAACGAUAUCAAUGUCGUUCUAUACGAAAAUAAACGAUAUGUGUCCAAGCCUCUUACGCACCGAAGCAGUGUGAAUUUUAUAGCUAAAAGACAUACACAUCGUUGUUGUGUUUCAGGAACAAUUUCAAUGUCGUUACACAAAUCAGUUAAGCAAUGUGUUUUUAAUACCGAAAUGAUAAACAUGUCGUUUUGUGUCUUAGGAACGAUUUCAAGGUCGUUACGCAAAACAGUGGAGCAGUGAGUCUUUCAUACUGAAACGAUAUAUAAGUCAUUUUGUACUUUAAGAACGAUUUCAAAGUCGUUACGCAAAUCAAUGAAGCAGUGUGUAUUUAAUAUUGAAAUGAUAUACAUGUCGUUUUGUGUCUCAAGAACGAAUUCGAACUCGUUUUAGUAUCAAUUUUAACUGAAACGAAUUCGAACUCUUUUCUUCGCAAAUAAAACGUUACGGAUGUCAUGAAUUUGUAAUAAGCAUGCUUCCAAGUAGACAGCGCGGCCACAUUGCCUUAACCACUGCGGUCGCACUAUUAAGCUUCAAGUGGCCACCUUGCUCUCGAUAAAGGUCUAUGCAACCGCAUGGCCUUGACCACUAUGCGGCCGCAUAGUGGUCGCAUAUACCUUUUCUAUUUAUUGAUAGCCCCAAGCUAUUCCACUCAAUUGAAGAAUGACUUCCAAGUCGUUAUGUAUGGUCAUAUCGACUUCUAGGUCAUUACGAAAAUAAGGACAAGAUUGUGCAUUUUAUACUGAAACGAUAUGGCAAUGGAAGACAAUGGAAAAUAUGUAAACUUGUACAUAUAAAACUCAACAAUAUGGCAUGUAUAAUAUGUAAACUUGAAAGUUUUAGGAGAUUCCAAAAUAGCAGUUACUCCAGCAAAAAAAAUCAAAUCACUACAUAAUGUUAUCAAAAUAUGAAAAAGCAGCAAAACACAAUCCACAGUUUGAAGUCCCAAGCCAACAACUGUGCAGCCAAUUUCUUUCGCCAUAAUGGUACAUAAUCUGAUCGAAUUGUAUUUAUGUUUAUAUUCGCUUGCAGAAAAUCUAUGUAUUUGAUAGCGAAAAUUUCGCAAUCAGAUCUAGAAAAAAGUUGUGAAAUUAUUGUAUUAAUUUCCAACACUCAAAAUAAUCUAGUACUCCCAAUUAUGAAAUUAGUCAUUCUUAUCCAUUCACUUGUUGGGGAACAUCUUUCACGUUCACAAAUUUGAACUUCUCUAUGCUAUAUUUAUUUUCACUCGUGACAUGGGAUUUUAUUAGCAAUGGAAUAACCACCUGUAGAGAUAGUAAGUAAGCUUCCAGUGCUAUCCUGCGAUGUGACCCUUUAGACUGUCGAACAUAAAAAUGGUCCAUUCCUCGAUGUCGAUUUGAACUGCAAACCAAUGGUCACAGGUACAACAAGGAAUUUACAAAUAUCUACAGUCCUUCCAAGGUUUAUCGAGCUCCAAAUUAGCCUCGCUCACGUAAUUAAUCAAACUCUUACUAUAGUUGAGCUCUUUACUCGACUGUAACUGACUAUGUGCAUUGACAAUAAAUUGAUAGAAAUAAGUAUCCAAUAUGCAACAGUCUUCCUGGAAUAGAUUGAGAAACUUGGAAGCCCUUUCUCGUAUCUGGUAUAGGGCCUUGUUAAUAAUCUACAAAAAUAAACUAAUAAAUUCAAACUGAAUUCUUGUGCGACAUUAUCAUAAAAUCAUUAAAGUUGGAUUACUUAUACUUCUAGUAAUCCAACCAUUCUCAUUUAAAAGAUCCAUCAAUUUUUUUGUUUGAACAUUAUAAAAGCGCAAAGGUAUAAUUUGGUUGUGCAUAUGACAAAAUUAACAUGAAGUUAUAUUUAUGUAAUACUGUCAUUACUUUUACAUGUACUUGCAAUUAUAUGUAAUAAUUUACCUAGAAGAUGCAGUUUUCGUCCAUUUGAAAAAAGCCUCAACCUUCAUGGGAUCUACUUCUCAAUAAGAAUAGUAUACAUUGAUGUCCAACAACUUUCUCUUCUUUGUCGGGUCCAUAUAGGGAGAACACCAUAACCAUGCUUUUUUCUUCGGAUGAUACCCUCGUCAUUUUGAUGGAUCACAUCCCGCCUCAUCGAUUUGUACACUGUCGCCUAUAUGUUGCAAGUACCAACAAUUAGAAAUCUAAAAUUUGUUUCAUUUGGUUAUAAAGACUAAAACUGAACUUCAAAUUAAUUUUUACAUACCUUUCCGUGGAUUCAUUCGCAUCCAUAUCAUACUUCUCAAGCGUCACAAAAUCAGCAAUACCUUUCUCUACGUCGGGAUGCUCUUUCUCUAAUAUUGUUUCUUUUCCAACACCCUCUUCGACCAUUUUUUCAUUUUCUUGCUCCUCUAUAUCAUUCUCAGAUCCAACCUCGGUUUUCUUCUCUCCUACAUUUUUUCCUCUAACCACCGUCUCUAACUUUGGGUCCUCCUCAAGCGCUUCUCCUUUCUUUUAGCAGCAAGCACAUUUGACACAUAAUCAAAUCCAACCUCCUUUUCCAACACACCAUUCGGUUCAUAUUAUGGUAUUUAAGCUGUGCUACUCGUGGCACUAUCAAAUGCACUAGUUGCUGAAUAGAACCGACCUGCCAUAGACUAUUCUACCAACUUGUCAACAUUUUUCUCCACCCGAUCAAGUCAAGUCGAUAUGACUGCUUGAAGCAUUCCCUCAAGUUUUUUCCAUUUCCAUUCUCAAUAAAUCCGCUAUGUUAAUCUCAAAACAGACCUAUGGAGGUUGAGCUGUUCUCGAAGACUCUUAGUGGUAUGCAUUAUGUGGCUCGGCAUCAUGCUCAGCCUCAUCUCCUUCAAAAUGGUGUAAACCACCCUCAUCUUCUUCCGCGAUCGGUGUUAAAUCUUUCCAAUAGACCUUAUCGAGUUCGGCUUCAGUGGGAAUCAAUGUAGAAUUAACGUCCCACUACAAAUAUUAAGUCCCUGUUUGCUUCCCAUUAUUUGGCCAUUAAAGUAAAAAAUAUGACCGUUAUCCAUCACAUCAAACCAUCAUAUUUGAAUUUCUAUCUCUUGUGUGGAACUGUAACGACUAUAUUUUUCAUUCUUAUUCUUACAUUAAUGGAAAACAAACAGGGCUAAAUCUGCAAAUCAUUAGUCAUCCAGUAAGCUAAUUCCAUAAUUUGCCCUCUUUAAACUUUAAAAAAAAAAAAGUAAAUUUACCUCUUUCAAUUUCAACACAAUAUCAAUAACGACAGACGCUAACCUUUUCAACAUUUUCCAAGCAACCAUUCUUGGGAUAUCUGGAUAUUUUGUAACAAACUUUAUUCCCAAAGUUGGAAUUGUUCGAAUACCCAAAUCUAUUAUAAAACAAACAUUACUAUCUCAUGACACAAAUUUAUAUAUAAAAAAUAUUACAAGUUAAGUGUAUUGUUUGUUCGUACCAUUAUAGAGAAGGGAAAGCCAUGCAACGAAUACCGACAAUGUGACUCUCCUGCGACAUCGUAACUUUUCAAUUUACCUCAUAUUUCAUGUCUGAAUACAUUCAUGGUAUAUUCAAAUUAAAUCUUCCCCCCCCCCCCUCACGGACACCUAUCAAACCUGUCCAAAUCAUCUACCAAGUCCAGCCACCAUAAAUCGAUGUAGGUGCUUUCCUCCGUGGCCCACAAGACGUAUGCCAAUAUUACAAUCAAUCCCAACUUAUACUCAUCGCUUUUUCUUUUCAUGCAAUAUAUAAAUGCAUUGUAGACAUCUCCCUUUGUUAAUAGUUCUUCAACCAUAUUUUUUGUUAAAAGAUUUAAUUUAUGUUGUCCAUCUGUUGUUCUAACAUCUAUGGUUUUUUUUUUUUUUUUUUUACGAUAUUCAUUUAUUACUAUUCUUUCUCUUUUCUAAAUUUUAUCUAAGACUUCUCAUUUCCCUAUUUUUAAAUCUAAAGAUAAUUUUUGUAAUUUUCUAAAUUUAUUGUUAUCAAAUGUAAUUUUUAAUCCAUAUCCUUCUAUUCCUUCAUAUUCUUGUAUAUUUAUAUUAUUACUUUCUAUUUCUUCUAUUUCCUUAUUCAGAUUCUGAUUCAUCAUCCUCUAUUUCGCUUAUAUAAACUUCUUGAUUAUUACUUAUCAAAAUAAACUUCUUGAUUAUAAUAUUCGUCAAUAUCUGAUAUUUCACUUAAUUCUUGUUUUGUUUCCAAAUAUUCUUUUUGUAAUGUUUUAACUUUCUUUUUAUCACAAUCAGGGCUUAUAUGACCUAUUUCUCCACAAUUCCAACAUUUACAUUGCCUUUUAUUUUUUUUUAUAACUUUUAUUUUUCUGUUGACCAUAUGGGAUAUUUUUUUUAUAAUAUUUCCUUCUAGGUUUUAUAUAUUUUUUAUUAAAAUUUCUAAAAUUUUUAAAUUUUUUAUUUUUAUAUUUUCUUUUAUUAACUCUUUUUUAGGAUUACAUCCAAAUUGUAUAGGAUUUUUCAUAUCUUCACAACAUAUUCUAAUUAGUUUUCCUGAUUUUUUCAUUAAUUGUCUUUGUUGACAUAUAUAUGCAAGUCUUUCAAAUAAAAUUUUUAUUCUUGAUCCUUGGUAUUCCAAUAUUAUCUCUAACAUAUUUUUCAAAUUCUAUUUUAAAAUAUAUUCCCCAUGAACCUGGUAAUUUAUUAUAAUACAUAUCUUGGUAUACUUCUUAGUUCUCAUUACUAUAAAAUUGAACAUAAUGAUAAUUUAUAAAUUCACAAAUAUAUUCUUUAAUUUUAUACAUAUAACAUAUUGUUAAAUUUAUUAGUUUAAUUCUAACAUUAUCUUUUUCUUUUAUUUCUUCUCUUUCAGCAUUUCUUAUCCAAAUUUCUUCUAAAAAUUCAUUUGAAAUAUAUUCUACUAACUUUUCUAUACCUUGUUUAUGUGAUUUUAUUAUUUCUAUUUUUACAUUUUUUUUAUUAAUAUUUUUGUAUUAUUACUUAUUCAUUAUCACCGAUGUCUAACAUCUCUUUCAAAGGAUGCUAUUAAGAAAUCUAUUAUUCUUUCAGUAAUUUCCCAUGUGUCAUAUUUAUUAUAUAAAAAAAAUAAUGUCAUUAAAUCUGCCCGAGUUAAUAAAGCUUUUUUAGUAUCUAUUUUACAAUUUAAAUUCAAUUUUAUUCCUCCAUGAUUAAUAGGUUUAUCAUAAUUAUCAUUUAAUUCAAACAUGUCUCUAUAUUUAUUUCCCUUAGUUGGAUGUCUAUUUCUUACUUUAUCAUAAAAUUGUCUAUAUGGUUUAUUAUAUAUAGGUGCAUAACUUUCAUCUAAAUUUUGUAAUUCUUGUUUAGAAGUUCCUAUUGGAUUAGGUCCUCCUCCAGUAUUCAUUAAAACUUGGUAUUCAUUUAUAUUACUUAAACUUAAUUGAUCAAAAUUUUCUAUAAGUAAGUCUAAUUCCUCAUUCAUCUUUAUCAUUUUUCUUCUACUUUUAACUUUCUUAAUAUUUUUUUCUCUAGAUUCUUCUUCUUCUAGUUCUUCUUCUAAUAAUGUUGGUAACAUAUUUUUCUUAAAUUCAUCGUCCAUACUUCAUGUUUCUAUUAUUAUACUCUUUCUCAAUAUAUUUCUUAUCUAUUCGAGUCAUUUCUUUUUCUAUUAAUUUUUUUUAUCUAUUUUCUUUUUUUAUUUUUAUUAUUUUCUUUUAUUUCUCUAAUUUCAAUUUUUAAUAUAUUUAUAUCAUUUCUUGUUUCCCUUACUUCAUUUCUUAAAUCUUGUAUAUCAUUUAUUAACAUUUUUAUUAAUGAUUUUAAUUCUCCUAUAUAUUCAUUUAUUGACAUAUUAAAUUCAUCUUCCUAACGUAUAAGUUAAUUUACAUCUUUUAUCUUCUUUAUUAUCUAUUAUUUUUCCAAAUCUUCUAUUGGCUAUAUCUGGAUCUAUUAAUUCUUCUUUUACUAUACUGAAAUAUUUAGUCUCAAAUCUUAAUCUUUCAAAUUUUAAUUUUAUUAAUUGUCAUUUAUUUGAUACUCUUAUUUCUUUUUAUUAUUAACAUUGUAUCUAGUAUUUUUCUUGUAUUUUUUCCAUUUUUAUAAUUAAUUUAUUUAAUUUUAAAUUUGUAUUAUUAUUUACACUUAUACUUCUAUUUGUAAUAUAAAUUAAUUUCUUCAUCUUUAUAUAUAUUAAUAAUUUUUUCAUAUGUAUAUAUCUCCUUUAUUGUUUCUAUUAUUAAUUUUUCUAAUAUUUUUUUUAUUUCUCUGGAUAAUUCUUUUACUAUUGUCAAUGUCAUUAUUUUUAAUUUAUUAGAAAUACGUUUUAAAAAUAUAUAACUUCCUUUUUCUUCUUCUAAUUUAUAAUAAUUAUCUAUUUCUCUUAUUUUAAUUUUCAUGAUCUCUAUGGCUCUGAUAAUGGAGGAGGCUACUUAAAGCAAACAAAAAUCAAAUAAAUCAAAUAAAAAUAUAUAUAUUAAAAUUCAAGUAAUAUUUAAUUUUAAUGACUAAAUUAGAAAAUUUCUAUAGUAUAAUGACUUGUUAUGUAAUAUCUAAAUAAAAGGUAUUUUAAGUAUGUAAAGUGACCAAAUGUCAUUUUAGAAAAACGGCUUUUUUUUUAUAGGCUAUUUUCAUGUAUUUCCCCCUGGAUAAUCAGCUUCCACUUUAGAGAUUGCCAGUAUCAGUUCCAACUGACCAAUCGUCAAUCGACCCGAACGUGCUAACUGGAGGUAGGUUUGACCUUACUGAGAACAUUCCUUUUUCACUUGACAGUUGACAAUUGAGAUCUAGCCAAAAAAAUAUAGUCGUAAUAAUUGUCGAACUUUCUGAGAGGUACAGUUUCCUCUGCUUUACACGUUUCCAAGGGGCAUUUAUUUAAAGUGUGAGCAGCUCGUAAGUGUUGGCAUUUUCUUUAAUUUGUCACAUCUAUUUCAGCUGUUAAGGGCCUGAGAAUGAAAUACGUUCUCCACUUUCAAUUUUUUAUUUUUUCAUUUUUGGGUUUGUUGCUGGGGUUUUGGGUGGGGAUGGGCGUGGGGGGGGGGCUGCUUUGGAGUAUUUCUGGUGUUCUUGACCUUUCUUUUUCUGGGAGGGGAUUAUGGUGGCUCCCCUUUUCCCGCCUAUAUAUAUAGAAUAUUUUAAGAGGUGAUCAUCUAUCUUAGUAGCACGGUCGAGGCUUUAAACCAUAGAUAACAACCUGGAAAUGUGUCAUGGAUUUUGGAGCUAGGAAAUGAUUUGUGUUCUUGGUGGUGGAAGGGUGAUUGUUUGGGUUGGUGGUGGGGGUGGUUGGCACACAGAUCAGGAAAGUGCGCAUACCAUUAUACAAUCUCUGUCGCUCUCUUUUUUAUUCCACUCUCUUUUGGUCAUCUUCACUGGUAACCUUUACUAUUUCUUGAAAUGCGACAGAUCAGGAAAAUGCAUGUACAAUUAUAUUCUAUUCUUUUUGAAUCCUCUAUUAUUUCUUGAAAGUUCAUAUAGAUGGCCGCACGGACAUUUGUUUCGUAAUGCAUUGUGAAAAUUAGUAAUUUUUUCUUCUCAAUCCCAGGUUCAGUUUACAACAAUAUGAUUACUCGAUAUUCUACCCAGUCUCAGCUUAUGAAUUCCAGUUCCCGCAGCCAGUUUGAUACCACCUCUUUUACUCAGCCUGACCAGCAGGUUAACUUAUCAUAUGAUGAUAGGAUUGGGGUUGCUCUUGGUCCACCUCUGUCACCAUCAUUCCAAGCGGGAAUCUCUUCUAUUCAGCAAGCGAAUCUUAUUCCUUCUGAGGACUG
This 39938-nucleotide long non-coding RNA is filed under the name Olea europaea (common olive). RNAcentral's name for it is "long non-coding RNA (OEUR_LNC013582)". The record is from RNAcentral. Lineage: Eukaryota; Viridiplantae; Streptophyta; Magnoliopsida; Lamiales; Oleaceae.